GACGAACGCUGGCGGCGUGCUUAACACAUGCAAGUGGAGCGACGAACCAGGGCUUGCCCUGGGGCAGAGCCGCGAACGGGUGAGUAACACGUGGGUAACGUGCCCCGAUGAUCGGGACAACCCGGGGAAACCCGGGCUAAUACCGAAUGUGCUCCCCUCACACCAGUGAGGGAUGGAAAGGAAGCUUCGGCCUCCGCAUCGGGAUCGGCCCGCGGCCCAUUAGCUUGUUGGUGAGGUAACGGCUCACCAAGGCUGCGAUGGGUAGCUGGUCUGAGAGGACGAUCAGCCACACUGGGACUGAGACACGGCCCAGACUCCUACGGGAGGCAGCAGUGGGGAAUCUUGCGCAAUGCGCGAAAGCGUGACGCAGCAACGCCGCGUGGGGGAAGACGCCUGGUGU
RNAcentral lists this ribosomal RNA (400 nucleotides) under uncultured bacterium. RNAcentral describes it as "bacterial SSU rRNA". It matches the Rfam family "Bacterial small subunit ribosomal RNA", at positions 28 to 426 of the family's 1533-position model. The record is from RNAcentral.